CAUGGCGGCGGCUCGCAGCCGUUGGAGGUCGCCGCUCCCAGGCAGCGUUUCCCCCCCCCCGCGGCGUUAUUAGCUAGUGUGGAGAGUGGUGAGAGGCGAUGGCGUGAUCCGGCGGGGCGGGCAGGCCGUCCGAACCACGGCGGAGCCAGCCGGUGCAGUGCCGCUGCAGCGGAACGACGCCCCGUCGCCUUGGAGCGGUAGCGGCCUUGCCCUGGAGAAUAAGGCUUCGUGAUAGAAGAUAAUAAAAGCAUGAUGACUAAGCAGAGUGCUGAAGCUUAUCAGGAAUACUUAGAAAAGCAGAAAAAUUCCAGAGGACAUGACACCUCAGCUGCUCACUGCCAUGGCAGAAGAGAAAUAAUGCAUUUGAUGCUUUAUUGUGUGUGUGGCUCUUGGAAUUCCUCCCAGAGGCCUCUGGAGGGUACCAUGGUUAAAUGGAAGCCAAAGACUUACCAAGAUUGAGAACAAAAAUGGGCAAACAACUCAUAUAAGUAGAUGCAAGAUUCAUUUAAAAUAAGGAAAACCUCUGUUUAUGUUCUUAUGCUGAAAGAUAUAUGAAACUUCUAAUUAGCAAUUUUGCAAAGACUUUUUGUCUUGUAUUUCAAAGGAAAAAACCUUUUCAGAGAAAAUUUCAUUGAAGAAGUUUGUUUUAAAGGGAAUUAUUUUCUGCCAGUGCACACUAGAUUGCUCACAGUUGCGAAUUACAGCUCACAAAUGAAAAAAUAUAGUCUUCCUGACAUGUGCAGUGGGUAGGUAAAGCUAUUGAGAUUCUUCAAUACAUGAUAUGAUGGCUGUUAACAUGAAAAGGGAUUCAUUAUUUAAUUUAGAGAGAGUAAUGAUUUGGUUUUGAAUAAAAUGCACAGAAGAGAAAAUGAGACAAGGCUACUUCUACUGAUCUGAGCUGAGCAACCUCCCAUUUUAAAAAUUAUCAUGAUCUAUAAAAGCAAAAUUUUUGUGAAAAUUGGGUGGAGGUUGUAUGUGCACAACAGUGGGAAAACAUCCUUGUCUCUUUCUUUAGUAUUUUUGGACUCCCUUUCAGUUAGAGUGCUCACCAUGAAAGAAUAACAGAAAUCAAGUAAAUUGCAGUGUUUAAAUUUAUAUGCUUUAACAGAUACGAAAAGGUGGGGAUCUAAAAUAUGCAGAUAUAUGGAUUUGAUUUGCAAUGACAUUCUAUCAUUUUGUUUCAAGUUGGACAACGGAUGUAGCACACUAAGGAAGUUUUUCUCUACUAGUUUCAAGUAUUCAGUUGCUACGUUGGUCAAAUACUUUUGUAUUCUAGCUCUCAAACUAGAUAAUAACACAAUACUGUGUGUUUACUUUGAUUCCAGUAGCCAGACUCAUAAAAUGAAAGUCUCACAUGUGAAUAAAAGAUUGCAAGGCUGCAGCCUAAUUGAUUAUACACAAAGAACUGUCAGAAAUCCAAAGUGAGCAAAGUGUAAGGCCGUCCUCUAAUUUUUUAAUUUUCGGAGUUUUAAUUCCACUUGUGCUUAAAGUUAGUAUUAAUCAUAGGAAAAAAAAAUGCAUCCUUUCUCCCUUUAAUAUUUCUCUGGUUAAUCAACAUUUAUAAAUGCUGUGAUACGUUUCAGAUGUUACUAAUGUAUUUUUAUCUGAGGAUUGUUUAACAUGCAUAAUAAAACAGGCCUGUGUGCUGAAACACAGCAUAGUGGAACGUGGCAUAGUGCUGCUUAGGAAGUAAAUCAUCUCUUUUUUGGAUUUUCAUUAGGUGUAAGUGCUUUGGAUAGCCAUGGAAAUACAACUGUUGGUAAACAUAUUGCACAGUUGAUCUACUUCCUAUCUUUUUUUUUUUUCUUGUGACUAACGUAAAUAUUUGUGUCUAACUAUUUUUGGAGAAGCAUCCCUUCUAUAAACAAUUUAAUUUUACUAGCAAAGGGAGUGUAUUAGGAAUAGCACUCUGAUCAGAUCACUGCUAGCCAGUGAAUGACUAGGGGUUUAAGACAGGAGGUGGCAGCCUUGAGUAGCAACUCACUGUUGUUAUUAGUUAAGCACAGAUCCUAGUUGAAAUAGAAGCUAGGCACAGAUAACUCAGUUCUGAGCUCUUGUUCUUAAACACUGAAAUGACAAGCAGCUUAGUUAUUAAAGGUGGCAGCAACUUGCUUUGUCCAUUUUGACUGAUAAUUAACAAAAUCUAACAGACUUGUUUAACAGUUGCAAUGUGACAUUAUGUGAGUUUUCUUAGAUUUUGAAAUAUUUAGAUUAAUAUCGGAAGAGGAAAAGACUGCAGCAUAAUGGAGAGGCAGAACCUAUCCUGUCCCAUUUUCUUCUGGAUUUGUUUCUUCUUAUUACGGCAAAUCAAGUUGCAAACAAGAAUAAUCUUCAAUAAAAUAUUGUGCUGUUUUAUUUAAAUAAUAUGUAUAUUAACUUCUGAGCUUCUUUUAAGUAUUCUGGAAGGGCAAAUGAUUAUCCAUUGCCUGGCUGUGAUCUGUAUGGAGAGUAUAAGGUACUUGUUUCUCCCUAAGGAACCACCACAAAGUAAUAGCAAGAGAACCUACUUUUGUUAAAAAUGUCACUGACUGAAAUUUUCUAAUCAAUAAACCAGUGCAGAACCUUGCACUUACUCUGCCUCAGCAGAGGGAGGAACUUGGUGACAUCACUGGUUUUUCCCUGUGAAAAUGCUUAUUUGGAAAAAGACAAAAAAAGAUGAAAUGAAUCACAGUAGCUGUGUGCAAAAUCCCACUUUUAAUCUUUUUGAAAAAUAUAAACAGUACCAUUCAUUGGGACAAUCAAAAUGUAGCCGGAGGGUUCUCUAGAAUUGCUUAUUUCCAGUAUUUACUGUAAAAAUUUUGCUUUUAACUUGUUUUUUAUAAUUUUUGUAUAUUUAUUGUUUGAUUUUCCUUA
Molecule: long non-coding RNA, 2853 nt
Organism: Rhea pennata
Lineage: Eukaryota; Metazoa; Chordata; Aves; Rheiformes; Rheidae
Exons: 5
Source: RefSeq, a predicted model, not a curated record